RNAcentral lists this ribosomal RNA (449 nucleotides) under uncultured bacterium. RNAcentral's name for it is "bacterial SSU rRNA". It matches the Rfam family "Bacterial small subunit ribosomal RNA", at positions 329 to 795 of the family's 1533-position model. The record is from RNAcentral.
GGCCAGACUCCUACGGGAGGCAGCAGUGGGGAAUAUUGCACAAUGGGGGAAACCCUGAUGCAGCGACGCCGCGUGAAGGAAGAAGUAUUUCGGUAUGUAAACUUCUAUCAGCAGGGAAGAAAAUGACGGUACCUGACUAAGAAGCCCCGGCUAACUACGUGCCAGCAGCCGCGGUAAUACGUAGGGGGCAAGCGUUAUCCGGAUUUACUGGGUGUAAAGGGAGCGUAGGCGGUGCAGCAAGUCAGAAGUGAAAGCCCGGGGCUCAACUCCGGGACUGCUUUUGAAACUGUUGGACUAGAUUGCAGGAGAGGUAAGUGGAAUUCCUAGUGUAGCGGUGAAAUGCGUAGAUAUUAGGAGGAACACCAGUGGCGAAGGCGGCCUGCUGGACGAUGACUGACGUUGAGGCUCGAAAGCGUGGGGAGCAAGCAGGAUUAGAUACCCUAGUAACA